AAAAAAAAAACCAUAUACAGAUGAGAUGCCUAUAGCAAAAGAGCAUGAUGUCUAAGUGACCUUACUGGAUGCUCACUAACAGUUUAGGAGUAAUGGCUUUGUGAAACUUGGUGCUGGUUUGCCCCCCAUUGUAAAUAAGCCCCUCUGGAUUUGGCUAUUUUGUACUGCAACUGACUUGCAGCAUAGACUUACUCUCAACUUAUUUCUUUUGAAAUAGGGAGUAGGUAAAUAUAUAUAUAUAUAUAUAUAUCCUGAUAGUAAAAGCCUUUUCAUAGUUUCUGUUCCCCCUUCCCUGCCCCCCAUCCCCUUUUUUGCUUUCUCAUCCAUAGAGUGAUGGUUCUAAUGAAUGAACUCCUGCAUGGUAAAAUAUGGGAGUCUAUGCUCCUGUAAUAAUGUAAUAUUUCACCUCCUUUCCCCAUAUUUGACAGAUAUCCUUGGUUAGUUUGCCAAAAUUUCACACAGUGUUUGAAUACCAUCUUCCUUUUAAGAUGGCUUUUGGAGUUGUGGUGUUUUGUUUUUCUGGAAUUGUCUCCUGCAGUAUGGCAUAAAACUACAGUCUCAUCAUUUUCUCAUUCCGCUCAGAAGUUUCCUGGUUUUGCACUUACCUUUCAUACAGCCCCACCGUGCUCCUUUUUUUGCCAUUUGUGUAUAUAAAUCAUUUUCCUUCCCUUCCCUGUCCUCAUCUGUUCCUGUGUCCUUCUGGGAUGCUCCAUUCUAAAUUUCAGCUUUCACAAGGAAGGGCCGUCAAGUACGGUGGAGCACUAAUACAUAAACAGAGCUCCGAAGUACAGCAGUACAGUUAAUGAUUGAAACACAAAUCCUGAUAUUUUACAGCUCUCCUCAAGGCAAAUAAUGAAGUGGCAGUAGUUAAAAAGCAGUCUGGAGGCCUUAAAAGAGAAUAUGACCGUCUGAUGAAAGAAUACGAACGACUUCAGAACGCUUCAAGUGAAGCAGAAGACAAGAAAGACCUGUAAGUGUGCAUCAGGCAGAUGGCAUUGGUAUAAUUGUUUCAGUCUGAAAAGCCUCGUGCUGCUUAGGCUCCUGAUGUGCAUCUGAAACAAAGCUUGAUUUUUCUGAGAAGCACAUGCACUGCUGGUCACAAUCCAGAUUCCACUCAUAUAUCUUGGUUGCCAAUAUAUUAUUUGUUUGAAAUAAAAUGUUAAGUGGCUUACCAGGUCUGCUAUGGAGUUUGUUGCUGCUCUUGAGAGGAAAAACAUGAAAACCUUCCAGUUCACCUGGAGCAGCCAAUCUUCCAGCUCUCACCUUCCAGAAUGGUAAAAAUUAGUGUGCGAUUGCACCAUUUGCUUGUAACAUUUGAGUGGGAUUGUAUGUCGUGCUGAAUAAUAAAAAACUAUCUAAACAAACAUCAUUUGUAACACCUUGUUGGAAUCUUCAAAAGUACAUUUACCAGUGGACUGAAGCUUUUCAUCAAUCGUACUCUUUCCAUGGAAAACUGAAUGACAAUCAAUCUGAAAAAAGUUACUAAAUAAAGGAAAGUAUUUUAAAAUCCAUCCUGCUAGCUUCUGACUUCCACCUGGCUGCAUGGAUGAACAUAUUUUAACAAAUGAUAUUUUGCAUUAUUCUGGCUUAUUUUUCUUCAAUUUAUGGGGUUACAUCAGUUUUCAUAACCAAAGUUUUGAAUUGGUUAUUAUUAAUAUUCUGUAUUUUUACACUGUUUACACAUGCUUAUUCAGUACAUGCCACCUAACUGCUUUUGCCUUGCUAAAAAUUCUUCUAAAAUGUUGGAGGAUAGUUGUGUUGGUUUGAUUUUUGUUUUAUUUUCAUGAAUACAAUACCUCAGAGUAAAAGUGCACUGUUCUGCAUAAGCCCUCUUUGGCAUUCUGAAAGUUAUUUUGAGUUUUUUUUGUUGGUUGGUUCCAAUUUGUAUUCCAAAGUUGGAUAUGUUUGUUAUAUUAAAGAGAUUGCUGAAGUU
Non-coding RNA from Meleagris gallopavo (turkey), 1933 nucleotides. The record is from RefSeq and is a predicted model, not a curated record. NCBI's taxonomy places the organism in Eukaryota, Metazoa, Chordata, Aves, Galliformes, Phasianidae.